CCGGCAUUGCCUUAGUACGGCGAGUGAGCGGCAAAAGCUCAAAUUUGAAAUCGGCCUCCAGGUCGAGUUGUAAUUUGUAGAUUGUAUUUUUGAUUUGGUUAAAGUCUGUUGGAACACAGCGCCUUAGAGGGUGAGAGCCCCGUAAAACCUAUUCAAUUGUAAAAUACUUUCAAAGAGUCGAGGGUUUGGGAAUAGA
RNAcentral lists this ribosomal RNA (196 nucleotides) under uncultured Geotrichum. RNAcentral describes it as "partial 26S ribosomal RNA". It matches the Rfam family "Eukaryotic large subunit ribosomal RNA", at positions 69 to 283 of the family's 3401-position model. Lineage: Eukaryota; Fungi; Ascomycota; Dipodascomycetes; Dipodascales; Dipodascaceae. The record is from RNAcentral.